Ictalurus punctatus (channel catfish) is the source of this 914-nucleotide RNA transcript. RefSeq lists it as uncharacterized. The record is from RefSeq and is a predicted model, not a curated record. Lineage: Eukaryota; Metazoa; Chordata; Actinopteri; Siluriformes; Ictaluridae. The transcript is spliced from 5 exons.
GCUUUAUGUAAGAUUAGACUAGGGACAGGCCUAGACAAGUCUCAGACACUUCACCCAUGAGAUAGAAAGUAUUUGCUGCAGUAUCUUUUGUGCACUUUUCUAGCCCCAACCUUCAGGAUCUUGAAGGUUGUAAUCUGAUUGGCUCUCUGCACUUUUAUGUAUACCUUUCCUUACUUCUUUCAUUAUAGUGCUGCUCAAAAAAGACUAUGAUUUCCUCAAAAGCUCCUUCAGACCCUACAAGGACAGUGUGUUUGAUGACAACUGUUUGAAGACUGAAGAGGAGCAGAAAAGAUGCCUGAAGAAGCAACUCUUGUGGUGUGAGUCCAGGCUCCUUGCCAUAGGGCACUAUCUAAAGAGUGUGGUGAGCUAGCAAUCUGCUAUGAAGGAGCAGCUGAAUCAGAGUAAGGCAGAGAGAGAGACACAAAGAAUGGCUUUUCAGUCAGAGACUGCAGAACUUCAUGCCAAUUUUGAAGCUGAGGUUGAGGGCUUGAAGACACAGCUGAAAGAGAAAGACGUGACUAUCAGCUUGCUGAGAGCAGCUCUGCAUCAGAUUCAGGAGGAGCUUAACAUUCUGAUCUGCCGUCUCUCUGAGCUGGGAAAAGGGCUUUAACAGAACCACCAGAUGCAUCAACAAAGAAUUAUUAAGUGCCCCUCACAAUUACACACAGUUUCACUUUAACACUUGCACAGUAUAUUACACUUCAGUCCUUAUGUGGAAAUAUCAAUGCAACAUGCAAAUACCAAUGUGGUGCUGUGAGCUGAAUAUAAAAUGACUGAAGACAAGCUAGUUUUAUUCCUUUAACAAUCCAACACAGUUAUGGAGGAACAUGGAUACAGGGCUUAAUGACCAACUGAGUUUAUAUGCAUGUGACAACACCUUUAAUUGAGACUUAUGAAACAUGCUGCUGCUUUUU